Molecule: unclassified non-coding RNA, 352 nt
Filed under: soil metagenome
Description: partial contains 5.8S ribosomal RNA, internal transcribed spacer 2, and large subunit ribosomal RNA
Rfam family: 5.8S ribosomal RNA (bases 1-120)
Source: RNAcentral
GAUGAAGAACGCAGCGAAAUGCGAUAAGUAAUGUGAAUUGCAGAAUUCAGUGAAUCAUCGAAUCUUUGAACGCACAUUGCGCCCGCCAGUAUUCUGGCGGGCAUGCCUGUUCGAGCGUCAUUACAACCCUCAGGCCCCCGGGCCUGGCGUUGGGGAUCGGCGGAGCCCCCCGUGGGCACACGCCGUCCCCCAAAUGCAGUGGCGGUCCCGCCGCAGCUUCCAUCGCGUAGUAGCUAACACCUCGCGACUGGAGAGCGGCGAGGCCACGCCGUAAAACACCCAACUCUUCUGAAGUUGACCUCGAAUCAGGUAGGAAUACCCGCUGAACUUAAGCAUAUCAAUAAGCGGAGGA